GCAUUGGUGGUUCAGUGGUAGAAUUCUCGCCUCCCACGCGGGAUACCCGGGUUAGAUUCCCGGCCAAUGCA
This 71-nucleotide transfer RNA is filed under the name Camelus bactrianus (Bactrian camel). It matches the Rfam family "tRNA". From Rfam's summary of the family: Transfer RNA (tRNA) molecules are approximately 80 nucleotides in length. Their secondary structure includes four short double-helical elements and three loops (D, anti-codon, and T loops). Lineage: Eukaryota; Metazoa; Chordata; Mammalia; Artiodactyla; Camelidae. RNAcentral also lists the same sequence under 1 other name. The record is from Rfam by way of RNAcentral.